UGCGGAGGAUCAUUAACGAAUAUAAAUCGGAAAGCUGUCGCUGGCCUCUCGGGGCAUGUGCACGCUGACCGUGUUUCAAAAAUUUCUCACCUGUGAACCUAAUGUAGGAUGCCUCUCCUCUAGGAGAGGGGACCUAUGUCUUCAUAUACAUCUUCGUGUAGAAAGUCUUAGAAUGUUUACUAUCAGAGAGUCGCGACUUCUAGGAGACGUGAAACUCUGAGAUAAAAGUUAUUACAACUUUCAGCAAUGGAUCUCUUGGCUCUCGCAUCGAUGAAGAACGCAGCGAAAAGCGAUAUGUAAUGUGAAUUGCAGAUCUACAGUGAAUCAUCGAAUCUUUGAACGCACCUUGCGCUCCUCGGUGUUCCGAGGAGCAUGCCUGUUUGAGUGUCAGUAAAUUCUCAACCCUUCUUGAUUGAGGGAGUUUGGAUAGUGGGGGUUGCUGGAGACUUUUAUUAGACUCGAGCUCUCCUGAAAUGCAUCGGCUUGCGGUCGACUUUCGACUUUGCGCGACAAGGCUUUCGGCGUGAUAAUGAUCGCCGUUCGCUGAAGCGCAUGACCGAAGGUUUCGCGCCUCUAAUACGUCGACUCUUAUUAUCUCUUCGGAGAGAAAAGGUCUUCUUUAUUGACUUUUGACCUCAAAUCAGGUAGGACUACCCGCUGAACUUAAGCAUAUCAAUA
RNAcentral lists this ribosomal RNA (678 nucleotides) under Rhizopogon vinicolor. RNAcentral's name for it is "eukaryotic LSU rRNA". The stretch from base 236 to 390 matches the Rfam family "5.8S ribosomal RNA". The record is from RNAcentral. Lineage: Eukaryota; Fungi; Basidiomycota; Agaricomycetes; Boletales; Rhizopogonaceae.